Molecule: long non-coding RNA, 2985 nt
Filed under: Mytilus galloprovincialis (Mediterranean mussel)
Lineage: Eukaryota; Metazoa; Mollusca; Bivalvia; Mytilida; Mytilidae
Source: RNAcentral
ACCUCAUAAACUAAAAAGCAUUCUGAUGAAGAUUGCUAUUAUUAAAGAAAAGGCCAGAGAAAACAUCAAAAUGGCUGAAAAACCAAAUCUUUUAAAAAAAGCAGCAUAUUUAAAUAAUGCAAUUGUAGUUUAAAUUCUUAUCAUGUUACAAAAGGCUUCUGCUAUGAAAUACGAUCCUCUUAAACAGAGGAAAACCCAAUAUUUAACAAAGUAUGGCUAUGCUUUUUCAUCAAAUAUGUUCAACAAAAAUUGAUUUUGACAUGGAUAAUGUGAAAAAAAAAGAAAAUACAAAUGUAUACAGAAUAUGAUGAUAUUUUAUUGCAUGUAUUGUAACACUUUUUUUUUAAAUUCAGCGAUAUGCAUAACCUGUGUAUUUCAAUACUCAGGCAAGUUAUAAAUAGAACUUAAUUGAUGUUAUAUUCCUGGUUUGAACAAUAUUUUAUUGAAACUAAAUCAAACAACUUAGGAUAAUAAGCAUUAACAAUAGCAUUCAGAAACCAGUAACACGACACUGCCAGUUAUCUAUUUAAAUAAGAAUAUGUGGUAUGAUUUCUAAUAAAACAACUCUCCACCACAGACCUAAUGACUUUGAAGUUAACAAAUAUAUUGGCCAUUUAGGCAUUCAACAAUUAGUUAAUGUCAUACCGUUUAAGAUCGCCAGCAUAUAAUACAACAGUCUAAAUACCAUUCUCACAUUGAAUUAUAAAUGACAUCAAGUCAUCAAGCAGUAUGGAAGCAACAUCUAUUGAAACAGUGGCGUUGAAUAAACAUUCUUUCACAACGAUGUAAUUUUUAAUACAUUUCCUUUGUAAAAUACAGUAUGCAGUCAGACACAUUUCAUGGAUCAAAAACAAAGCAUGCCUGCAUGUGUUAAUCCACAAACUUACACACACACAUACACAUACUAAAUGUGUUAAAAUACAAUAGGCGACCAUUAAAAAACAAGAUUAAAAAAAAAUCAGUUAUAUACAGAACUAAAUUGAAAAGUGCAAAAUUAGUGUGUACCCUAUCAUAUAACACCGAACUGUGUAACAAAUAAGAAUAGAUAAUUGUUUGUUGAUUUUUUUGGUUCCAAAUAAGGCUUUAUUAACAAUUUUAGUAAAAUGCAUUGGAAUGUAAGACAACUGAAAUUAGCAAUUUAAAUAUUGGCACGAAAAAAAAAAAACAGUUUUAGUAUACGUCUGAUUAACAACGAAUUAUUAUUCGCAAGUUUUAUACUAUGGACAGUCCCAAAUAAGUGGAAAAAAGCCUCAUUUUUCAAUAGCAUUUUUUCAAAUUAAGUUCAUCUAUUGAAUAAUAACUUUAAAAAAGAAUAAAAACAUUCAGUUCAACCAUGUAUUUGUCGAUAACACUGGAUUUCACAUACAUGAUAAUAUUUAACAACAUUAACAGCUAAAAAUUAUAUGGAUACAGGCACUAGUAAUCAUAAUUAUUUACAACGCAACAAUAACAAAAUAUACAGAUGACAUGUAAAAAAGAUUAAUAUCUGUAAUUCUGAAUUACGAAUGAGUGAGUUUUGAAAUAAUCUUCAAACAGUUGCAAAAAUACAUUUGAUUUCUUAUGUUCAAUAUGCACAAACAUGACCACUAGGAUUUUUAGUUUUUGGAAAUAUAAUGCAAUCUUUUAAUUUCUUUUUGUUCAUGCAUUCACCAUGAAUAAUUAAUAAUUAACAGCAUGUAACAACCCUUAGAAAUCGUUAAAAAGGGCAAAAACCCACUCAAAUUCAACUUAAAUCCACAGGUUCCAUAUAAACCGAGUCAGCAGUAAAUAUUUAUAUAAAAUAAAAGGUUAAUUUAAAAACAACUAAAACACAACACUUAUAAUUAGUACUAACAGAUAGACAAUAAAUCAGUGGUUAAUAUAUAUGCAUAGAAAAAUUACAUACAAUUAUAUUCAAUAGUAUUGUUUGAACUUUGUUUCCAAACAUAAAAUUACCAAUGACCAAUGAUUUAGCAUUAUGUUCAUUCUAAUUUUCAUAUACUAUACAGCGACUCAGUUUCCAAUUCGUUUUUAUUGAAAUCAAGAUAUGCAUGUUUAGUAAUCCUAAAGAUGUCUUUAACUAUUAUUUCCACUGAAUGAAUUACAUGAUUAUAUUUACAUAUAAAGCUUGCAUAUGAUGGCAACUGAGUUCCGAAUGUUUAUUUACAUGAAGAGAGAUAUAUGACUAUUCUUAUUAAUAAUAAAUAAAUAAUGGUAACCUCAUUCUCUCUCUAUCAAUUGCUUACUCCAACUCACCAUUUUGACUUUGAUAAGCUAGACGAAACUGGCGAUUUAAAUCAAUUUCUCGAAGCAUGAAACAUUUCAGAAGUUUCAGUACUUACACAUUUAUAUUCACUUUUACUAUCAUAUAAUACAAUACAUCUAUUUGAGGUAAAACUAGGAACACAAUGACCUAAUUACCACCAACAAAUUAACCAAUUUUCCGUACUUUAGGUCCUCAAUUCAAAUUAACCAAUGCUUUUAUAUAUCUACAUUUCUAUGUCAUUGCGGUAGUUAUGGUGGUGCUUCUUGUUGUACUGAUUUAAUUUUUACACCAAAUUUCAGGUAUUUUAGCUCAUGAAAGACAAUACACGAAAAUUUGUAGGUUCGUACCCAAUUUUAACACGUGUUAUUCAUUGUUUUGACUUUGUUUGUACAUCUGAAUAUCGUAUCUUCGUGGCUUUUUUGGUUUGUUGUACUAUCAAAACUUUUGGUAAUUAUUAAUAUCCAUUUUUACUUUUUUUAUACCUGGCUUUUAUGUCAUAGUGGACACAUAUUAUGUGUGCUUGCCUGAAUCAUACUACUUUGUCCUAUCUCGUUGUACAUUUUAAAUGUGUUUAUGGGGGUAAAAAUAAUAAACAAUCUUUAUUUAUAGUCUGUUUCUUUCGGUGUUUUCUGAAACAUCUAUUAUUUCUUAGAAAAUGUCGACAAUAAAGACGACAACACUUCAGGUGUUGGUUCACUUAUAUUUAUACAUUUUUUUUAGAAAAGCAUAAAAGUUAACAA